Schistosoma margrebowiei is the source of this 45-nucleotide non-coding RNA. The record is from Rfam. NCBI's taxonomy places the organism in Eukaryota, Metazoa, Platyhelminthes, Trematoda, Strigeidida, Schistosomatidae.
AUCCAGCUCACGGGUUUCAUAUAGGAGGAAACGCGCGUCCUGGAU